CGCCGCGUGAGUGAUGAAGGUCUUCGGAUCGUAAAGCUCUGUCUUCAGGGACGAUAAUGACGGUACCUGAGGAGGAAGCCACGGCUAACUACGUGCCAGCAGCCGCGGUAAUACGUAGGUGGCGAGCGUUGUCCGGAUUUACUGGGCGUAAAGGGAGCGUAGGCGGAUUUUUAAGUGAGAUGUGAAAUACCCGGGCUCAACUUGGGUGCUGCAUUUCAAACUGGAAGUCUAGAGUGCAGGAGAGGAGAGUGGAAUUCCUAGUGUAGCGGUGAAAUGCGUAGAGAUUAGGAAGAACACCAGUGGCGAAGGCGACUCUCUGGACUGUAACUGACGCUGAGGCUCGAAAGCGUGGGGAGCAAACAGGAUUAGAUACCCUGGUAGUCACA
This 386-nucleotide ribosomal RNA is filed under the name uncultured Clostridium sp. RNAcentral describes it as "bacterial SSU rRNA". It matches the Rfam family "Bacterial small subunit ribosomal RNA", at positions 395 to 797 of the family's 1533-position model. The record is from RNAcentral. Lineage: Bacteria; Bacillati; Bacillota; Clostridia; Eubacteriales; Clostridiaceae.